Molecule: ribosomal RNA, 477 nt
Filed under: uncultured bacterium
Lineage: Bacteria
Description: partial 16S ribosomal RNA
Rfam family: Bacterial small subunit ribosomal RNA
Source: RNAcentral
GAUUAACGCUGGCGGCGUGCAUAACACAUGCAAGUCGAACGAUGAAACUUAACUGAUUUCUUCGGAAUGAUUUUAAGUGGAUUAGUGGCGGACGGGUGAGUAACGCGUGAGUAACCUGCCUUGGAGAAGGGGAUAGCCUUUGGAAACGAAGAAUAAUACCCUAUGAUAUGAUAAUAUCUCAUGAUAUUAUCAUCAAAGAUUUAUCGCUCUAAGAUGGGCUUGCGUCUGAUUAGUUAGUUGGUGAGGUAACAGCUCACCAAGGCAGCGAUCAGUAGCCGGCUUGAGAGAGUGUACGGCCACAUUGGGACUGAGACACGGCCCAGACUCCUACGGGAGGCAGCAGUGGGGAAUUUUGCACAAUGGGGGAAACCCUGAUGCAGCGACGCCGCGUGAUUUAGAAGGCCUUCGGGUUGUAAAAAUCUUUUGUAUGGGAAGAAAAUGACAGUACCAUACGAAUAAGGACCGGCUAAUUACGUG